CAGAGGCGAUGAAGGACGUGCUAAUCUGCGAUAAGCGUCGGUGAGGUGAUAUGAACCGUUAUAACCGGCGAUUUCCGAAUGGGGAAACCCAGUGUGUUUCGACACACUAUCAUUAACUGAAUCCAUAGGUUAAUGAGGCGAACCGGGGGAACUGAAACAUCUAAGUACCCCGAGGAAAAGAAAUCAACCGAGAUUCCCCCAGUAGCGGCGAGCGAACGGGGAGGAGCCCAGAGCCUGAAUCAGUGUGUGUGUUAGUGGAAGCGUCUGGAAAGGCGCGCGAUACAGGGUGACAGCCCCGUACACAAAAAUGCACAUAUUGUGAGCUCGAUGAGUAGGGCGGGACACGUGGUAUCCUGUCUGAAUAUGGGGGGACCAUCCUCCAAGGCUAAAUACUCCUGACUGACCGAUAGUGAACCAGUACCGUGAGGGAAAGGCGAAAAGAACCCCGGCGAGGGGAGUGAAAAAGAACCUGAAACCGUGUACGUACAAGCAGUGGGAGCCUCUUAAUGGGGUGACUGCGUACCUUUUGUAUAAUGGGUCAGCGACUUAUAUUCUGUAGCAAGGUUAACCGAAUAGGGGAGCCGAAGGGAAACCGAGUCUUAACUGGGCGUUAAGUUGCAGGGUAUAGACCCGAAACCCGGUGAUCUAGCCAUGGGCAGGUUGAAGGUUGGGUAACACUAACUGGAGGACCGAACCGACUAAUGUUGAAAAAUUAGCGGAUGACUUGUGGCUGGGGGUGAAAGGCCAAUCAAACCGGGAGAUAGCUGGUUCUCCCCGAAAGCUAUUUAGGUAGCGCCUCGUGAAUUCAUCUCCGGGGGUAGAGCACUGUUUCGGCAAGGGGGUCAUCCCGACUUACCAACCCGAUGCAAACUGCGAAUACCGGAGAAUGUUAUCACGGGAGACACACGGCGGGUGCUAACGUCCGUCGUGAAGAGGGAAACAACCCAGACCGCCAGCUAAGGUCCCAAAGUCAUGGUUAAGUGGGAAACGAUGUGGGAAGGCCCAGACAGCCAGGAUGUUGGCUUAGAAGCAGCCAUCAUUUAAAGAAAGCGUAAUAGCUCACUGGUCGAGUCGGCCUGCGCGGAAGAUGUAACGGGGCUAAACCAUGCACCGAAGCUGCGGCAGCGACGCUUAUGCGUUGUUGGGUA
Molecule: ribosomal RNA, 1148 nt
Filed under: Escherichia coli
Lineage: Bacteria; Pseudomonadati; Pseudomonadota; Gammaproteobacteria; Enterobacterales; Enterobacteriaceae
Description: partial 23S ribosomal RNA
Rfam family: Bacterial large subunit ribosomal RNA
Source: RNAcentral